GUCCCUGUAGCUUAAUAAAAAGCAUAACACUGAAGAUGUUAAGACGGUUACCACAUGAACCCAAGGACA
Molecule: transfer RNA, 69 nt
Filed under: Acanthisitta chloris (rifleman)
Lineage: Eukaryota; Metazoa; Chordata; Aves; Passeriformes; Acanthisittidae
Description: tRNA-Phe
Rfam family: tRNA
About the family: Transfer RNA (tRNA) molecules are approximately 80 nucleotides in length. Their secondary structure includes four short double-helical elements and three loops (D, anti-codon, and T loops).
Source: RNAcentral